This 800-nucleotide ribosomal RNA is filed under the name uncultured archaeon. RNAcentral's name for it is "bacterial SSU rRNA". It matches the Rfam family "Archaeal small subunit ribosomal RNA", at positions 1 to 768 of the family's 1478-position model. The record is from RNAcentral.
UUCGCCCUUUUCCGGUUGAUCCCGCCGGACCCCACUGCUAUCGGGAUAGGACUAAGACAUGCUAGUCAAGCGCUUUCUAGCUAAUGUGAGAGCGCGGCGUACAGCUCAGUAACACGUGGCCAACCUGCCCUUGGGACGGGAACACCCCCGGGAAACUGGGGUUAAUUCCCGAUAGGUGAAGAAGUCUGGAAUGAUUCUUUGCUCAAAAGACGUUUAUGUCAUGCUCAUAUUCGUCGCCCAGGGAUGGGGCCGCGACCGAUCAGGUAGUUGGUGAGGCAAUGGCUCACCAAGCCUUUUACCGGUGCGGGCCGUGAGAGCGGGAGCCCGGAGAUGGGCACUGAGACAAGGGCCCAGGCCCCACGGGGCGCAGCAGUCGCGAAAAUUUUGCAAUACACGAAAGUGUGACAGAGCUAUCCCGAGUGCCAUCCGCUGAGGAAGGCUUUUACCCAGUAUAAAUAGCUGGGAGAAUAAGGAGAGGGCAAGUCUGGUGUCAGCCGCCGCGGUAAUACCAGCUCUCCGAGUAGUGUGGACGUUUAUUGGGCCUAAAGCAUCCGUAGCUUGCUAGAUAAGUCCUCUGUUAAAUCCACCGAUUCAAUCGUUGGAUUGCGGGGGAUACUGUUUGGCUAGGGGACGGGAGAGGUCGACGGUAUUUCCGGGGUAGGGGUGAAAUCCUAUAAUCCCGGGAGGACCACCAGUGGCGAAGGCUGUCGACUAGAACGCGCCCGACGGUGAGGGAUGAAAGCUGGGGGAGCGAACCGGAUUAGAUACCCGGGUAGUCCCAGCUGUAAACGAUGCAGGCU